CCUACGGGUGGCAGCAGUGAGGAAUAUUGCGCAAUGGGCGAAAGCCUGACGCAGCGACGCCGCGUGAGGGAUGAAGGUCUUCGGAUCGUAAACCUCUGUCAGCAGGGAAGAACGGUCACUGUGCUAAUCAGCAGUGAAUUGACGGUACCUGCAAAGGAAGCACCGGCUAACUCCGUGCCAGCAGCCGCGGUAAUACGGAGGGUGCGAGCGGUAAUCGGAAUUACUGGGCGUAAAGCGCUCGUAGGCGGUAUGUCAAGUCAAGGGUGAAAUCCCCGCGCUCAACGUGGGAACUGCAUGUGAAACUGGCAAACUUGAGUGUGUGAGAGGAUAGUGGAAUUCCAGGUGUAGGAGCGAAAUCCGUAGAUAUCAGGAGGAACAUCAGUGGCGAAGGCGACUAGCUGGAACAUAACUGACGCUGAGGAGCGAAAGCGUGGGUAGCAAACAGGAUUAGAUACCCCAGUAGUC
RNAcentral lists this ribosomal RNA (465 nucleotides) under uncultured bacterium. RNAcentral describes it as "partial 16S ribosomal RNA". It matches the Rfam family "Bacterial small subunit ribosomal RNA", at positions 338 to 795 of the family's 1533-position model. The record is from RNAcentral.